GGAGUUAGCCGGUGCUUCUUCUGUGAGUGAUGUCCUUCCUGCCGGCUAUUAACCCGCAGGCCUUCUUCCUCACUGAAAGUGCUUUACAACCCGAAGGCCUUCUUCACACACGCGGCAUGGCUGGAUCAGGGUUGCCCCCCAUUGUCCAAUAUUCCCCACUGCUGCCUCCCGUAGGAGUCUGGGCCGUGUCUCAGUCCCAGUGUGGCUGAUCAUCCUCUCAGACCAGCUACGGAUCGUCGCCUUGGUGAGCCGUUACCUCACCAACCAGCUAAUCCGACAUAGUCUCAUCCGAUAGCGCGAGGCCCGAAGGUCCCCCGCUUUCCCCCGUAGGGCGUAUGCGGUAUUAGCCUGGGUUUCCCCAGGUUAUCCCCCACUACCGGGCAGAUUCCUAUGCAUUACUCACCCGUCCGCCGCUCGCCACCAGGGAGCAAGCUCCCCGUGCUGCCGCUCGACUUGCAUGUGUUAGGCCUGCCGCCAGCGUUCAAUCUGAGCCANAAUCAAACUCUGA
This 508-nucleotide ribosomal RNA is filed under the name uncultured bacterium. RNAcentral describes it as "partial 16S ribosomal RNA". The record is from RNAcentral.